UAACAGCAAUAUUAACUUGUAACGAAGCCAGCUGUCAUCAAACACACAUGGCGGGUGGCUUGUACAAGCUUUCCUCACCUUCAGCUACAGACCAUUACUAUGUCUAAGGAUAAGCAACAGAAAUUUAUUCCAGUUUGCGACGGUGCACCGAAAACUCAAAUUCCACCACCGGAACUCGAAGAAUAUGUUAGGCCUCCAUGUGUAGCGAAUCUUCCGCCUUGUCCUAUGAAAAAGAAGUCUAGACCACCAACACCUGUGCCAGAACCUGAUAUGCCCGUUCAUCCAUGCCCACCAUCACUGAAGUGCCCCAAUCCUUGUAGCCAGUAGCCGUUUUUUGUGUCGAUUCUUCACAUUUUGUGGACAUAUUUGAUGAUCAACAACUGAGCUUGUCAAAAUCUGUUCGCUGCCAGAAAAAAAGUUUCAACACCAGUUAGCACCAGGAGAGCAAUGGGAGAAUACAAUGCCAUCACUACAGAUAAGUUAGUUGAUAAUUGUGAACAAGAGCUCGAUGUUGUAGACGUUCCUGGAGACAAACCAGCUGACAAAGUAGACGUUAAUCCAGCAGACAAUCCAGAAGUUCAAACCGACAGUCUUACAUCGGAGAAGCCUCUAGAAAGUAAGGCCGAAGGAGACGUAGAGAAGUCUGACGGCACUGUGUGUGAAGAAGCAAACAAGGAAGUGGAACAAGUCACUACCGCAACACCAGAAAUGAAAUCGACCAAGCCCGCCAAAUCAGAAGAAAAAUGCGUCUUCAGGGAGAGAUACAUUCCAGUGCCAGUACUAGAGGAAUACGUCCGACCUCCAUGCACAGUGGCCUACCCGCCAUGUAAACGACCACCGACACCACCCCCUCCACCAAGGCCACCAACUCCAGUACCCGAUCCCGACAUGCCUUUAUCACCAUGCCCACUUCCAUACAAGGCGGUCAGUGAUUGUUGUCAGAAAUAAACAGCCCGUGAAAGAGUCUGAAGUGAACAGUGAAAGACUACAGUGAAGAACAGUAACCUCCUUGAAGACUCCCUUAAUACUUCAACAUGUCUCAAUGCAACUCUUGUGGAAAGGACUCAGCAAAAGAAACCAAUGGCAAAAAUUCUAAGAACGGAAGUGAUACUUGCCCCGCUUGCCCUCCCCCGGCGAAAGAGUCUGGUCCUGUUGCAACAACUUGUCAAGCAAACAAACAGUUCAGCAGCAACUGCAAAAAGUGUGGAGAAAAGAAAACCUGUGGAUGCAAAAAAUAAUUUGGAACGAAUACACGGUGCAGGAUACUAGCCCGGAAGAAAAGGUCCGGAAAUGCCAAGCAGUAAAACCCUCGUCGCCCUCACUUGGUUGCAGUGUACAAGUCCAACUCUUGUGGUUGCAGUGUACAACUCCUCAAGUUUGUGCAAGUCUUUAAGGAGCUCUACACUAACUUCUCUGUAGUCUUUCGAAAUACCAUCAACGGCCAAAUUGUAACAAAUAAAAAAAUAAGAACUA
RNA transcript from Biomphalaria glabrata, 1473 nucleotides. It is a transcript of the gene named sperm mitochondrial-associated cysteine-rich protein-like, with no coding region annotated. The record is from RefSeq and is a predicted model, not a curated record. Lineage: Eukaryota; Metazoa; Mollusca; Gastropoda; Planorbidae. The transcript has 3 exons.